Long non-coding RNA from Astatotilapia calliptera (eastern happy), 1238 nucleotides. NCBI's taxonomy places the organism in Eukaryota, Metazoa, Chordata, Actinopteri, Cichliformes, Cichlidae. The record is from Ensembl.
AACUACUGUGUGAUGUCGCGUUGCAGUUUUGUUUUUGUUUUUUGAGCUGAUGAGCAAGCUACACAUUAUCAGAUCAAGAGCUGUCUGAGAACUACUCAAAGAGAGGGAAACAGAGAGUGUGCAGCGUUUCCAUGAGCAGUUUUUCUGCACCUUGACUCGUGUGUGUGUGUAGCAUCAGCAUCAUGUUUUUGUUUAUUUGUUUUGUUGGAUUAAAAAUAAUUAAAUAAACUGGUGAUCAUGCUUAUGGAUCACCAUGGCACAUAUCUCCAGCCAUAUGGUUUAUUUAUGCAGAUGAAAAAGUGAGUGUGAAUGUGUCUGACAUCACAGUGUUUUUGUGCGCUGUGUAAAAGUAAUUGCCUUUGAUUGUGAGUGAGAGCGGUGAUUCUGCAGGUCACCAGCUAUUGUAACGAAAAAAAAAGAAAAAAAAGAGUGAAAAAGAAAAAUCAUAGGAAAAAGGUUUUGUGUUGAUCAGCCAAAAACAACUACAAUUUCAUUUUCUGCUUUUAAGAAAAGACUGUUCACAAAAACACAGAGAGAGAGAGAGAUGUGUUGAUUAAGCAGUGAUGAUAAUAAUGAAAUGUCUUAGUUUGUCACUUUCAGGUGAAAAGCAGACCUGUAUCAAUUUUCCACAUGCAGCAGUCGGAAGAAAGUUAUAGUUUAACAUCAUUGGAAACAUGCAGGCCAAGUUUCUGGCUGACUUAUUUACAGCGCCAUGUGUCUCUCAACCUCACAAGCAAGCAAGCUCUCACCCCUCCCUGAAGACAAGGAAUGCAGCUCCAAAGCAAUAACAUGAUAAAGAGACAGCAGCAAGUCCUGAGCAAAGAGUCCCAGCAAAGCAGCAGCAAUGUGGACAAACAGUAUCAGAGAAGAAGAGCAAACCCAUCAUCCUGACUGAUCGGAUGGAUGGCACUGUGUUUACAACAGGCUGUGACUUCACUGUGCAUGUGAAGAAAACGUUUGAGGAGAACUGAACAGUUGGAGUUUGACAUUUGCCACCUGUGGAGUAAAAUGGCAAGAAGAGACAGUGGAACACAGGACAAAGCUGAAGGAGAACUGCCGGCUGUUUGGACUGUUGAAGUGGGAGAGGACAAAAGAGUGAGAGGACAACAGAGUGAGAAGACUAGGUGCAGCAGUAAUCUCCUGAGAAAUCUUCAGAGGCCCAGUGAGAAGCGUGAACUAUUCCAGGCAUAGCUGACAGCCAGGCAGUGGUUGAGGUCAAAGGUCAAGCUGGUUGGGGC